AUUGAACGCUGGCGGCAUGCCUUACACAUGCAAGUCGAACGGCAGCACGGGUGCUUGCACCUGGUGGCGAGUGGCGAACGGGUGAGUAAUACAUCGGAACAUGUCCUGUAGUGGGGGAUAGCCCGGCGAAAGCCGGAUUAAUACCGCAUACGAUCUACGGAUGAAAGCGGGGGACCUUCGGGCCUCGCGCUAUAGGGUUGGCCGAUGGCUGAUUAGCUAGUUGGUGGGGUAAAGGCCUACCAAGGCGACGAUCAGUAGCUGGUCUGAGAGGACGACCAGCCACACUGGGACUGAGUCACGGCCCAGACUCCUACGGGAGGCAGCAGUGGGGAAUUUUGGACAAUGGGCGAAAGCCUGAUCCAGCAAUGCCGCGUGUGUGAAGAAGGCCUUCGGGUUGUAAAGCACUUUUGCCCGGAAAGAAAUCCUUGGCCCUAAUACGGUCGGGGGAUGACGGUACCGGAAGAAUAAGCACCAGCUAACUACGUG
RNAcentral lists this ribosomal RNA (486 nucleotides) under uncultured bacterium. RNAcentral describes it as "partial 16S ribosomal RNA". It matches the Rfam family "Bacterial small subunit ribosomal RNA", at positions 30 to 507 of the family's 1533-position model. The record is from RNAcentral.